CUGGGUCCAACCUCCCACCCGUGUUUAUUUUACCUUGUUGCUUCGGCGGGCCCGCCUUAACUGGCCGCCGGGGGGCUUACGCCCCCGGGCCCGCGCCCGCCGAAGACACCCUCGAACUCUGUCUGAAGAUUGAAGUCUGAGUGAAAAUAUAAAUUAUUUAAAACUUUCAACAACGGAUCUCUUGGUUCCGGCAUCGAUGAAGAACGCAGCGAAAUGCGAUACGUAAUGUGAAUUGCAAAUUCAGUGAAUCAUCGAGUCUUUGAACGCACAUUGCGCCCCCUGGUAUUCCGGGGGGCAUGCCUGUCCGAGCGUCAUUGCUGCCCUCAAGCCCGGCUUGUGUGUUGGGCCCCGUCCCCCGAUCUCCGGGGGACGGGCCCGAAAGGCAGCGGCGGCACCGCGUCCGGUCCUCGAGCGUAUGGGGCUUUGUCACCCGCUCUGUAGGCCCGGCCGGCGCUUGCCGAUCAACCCAAAUUUUUAUCCAGGUUGACCUCGGAUCAGGUAGGGAUACCCGCUGAACUUAAGCAUAUCAAUAGACGGAGGA
Molecule: ribosomal RNA, 541 nt
Filed under: Penicillium crustosum
Lineage: Eukaryota; Fungi; Ascomycota; Eurotiomycetes; Eurotiales; Aspergillaceae
Description: eukaryotic LSU rRNA
Rfam family: 5.8S ribosomal RNA (bases 162-314)
Source: RNAcentral